AGAGUUUGAUCCUGGCUCAGAUUGAACGCUGGCGGUAGGCUUAACACAUGCAAGUCGAGCGGUAACAGACAUUUUGAUUUUGCUUGCAAAAUCUCGUGCUGACGAGCGGCGAACGGGUGAGUAACGCGUAGGAAUCUACCUAGUAGAAGGGGAUAGCCCGAGGAAACUCGGAUUAAUACCGUAUACGUCCUUAGGGAGAAAGAGGGCUUAGCUUUGAUGCUCUCGCUAUUAGAUGAGCCUGCGUAAGAUUAGCUUGUUGGUGAGGUAAAGGCUCACCAAGGCAACGAUCUUUAGCUGGUCUGAGAGGACGAUCAGCCACAUUGGGACUGAGACACGGCCCAGACUCCUACGGGAGGCAGCAGUGGGGAAUAUUGGACAAUGGGCGCAAGCCUGAUCCAGCCAUACCGCGUGUGUGAAGAAGGCCUUCGGGUUGUAAAGCACUUUAAGUAAGGAAGAAAAGAGUAUUGUUAAUACCAAUACUCCGUGACAUUACUUACAGAAUAAGGACCGGCUAAUUCCGUGCCAGCAGCCGCGGUAAUACGGAAGGUCCAAGCGUUAAUCGGAAUUACUGGGCGUAAAGCGCGCGUAGGUGGUUUAUUAAGUUGGGUGUGAAAGCCCCGGGCUCAACCUGGGAACUGCAUCCAAAACUGAUUCACUAGAGUACGAAAGAGGAAAGUAGAAUUCACAGUGUAGCGGUGGAAUGCGUAGAUAUUGUGAAGAA
Molecule: ribosomal RNA, 721 nt
Filed under: uncultured bacterium
Lineage: Bacteria
Description: bacterial SSU rRNA
Rfam family: Bacterial small subunit ribosomal RNA
Source: RNAcentral